Long non-coding RNA from Oncorhynchus tshawytscha (Chinook salmon), 1256 nucleotides. Lineage: Eukaryota; Metazoa; Chordata; Actinopteri; Salmoniformes; Salmonidae. The record is from Ensembl.
GGGGGAGGUGAAGAACCGUUUGAGAAGACACACAUCCAGCGCUGAGCGCAAGCUAGAUAGGGCUCUCCUUCGCUCCUCUCACACACGACCAGCUUACGCCAUUCAUUCUGCCCUCCCUUGCUCCGGCACACGCUGCAUUCCUACGGUAGUUUUUGGAUAGCGAGCGGCGAUGUUUCUCUGCAGAGCGGCUUGGCAAAGAUAUGGGCCUUUGGCAAGGAAGGUAGCCCAACAGUUAUCUAGAGAUGUGUUGCCACGACGACAAAUGUCAUCAGUCCCCGGUGGUACUGGUGAUAACAUCGUCUACGCCCUGCUGUGUGGCGGGGCCUUCGCUGGAGCCAUCGCAUACACAUACAGCACUGUGACCACAGACCACGCCAGAUUCAAUGACCGUGUAGCGGAUAUCAACGCUCGUCCCAAGACUGUGUGGUCGCCCAAACCAUGGCCUCCCAAGAGCAGGGAUGAGGAAGAGGAGGAUACAUCCACAAAACUGCAUUUCACAGAAUUCUGAGGACCAAUGGUGGGGAAAAGGAGCGGAUUCAUGGGCUCUGAAAUGAGUGGAGUCUUCAUGUAUUUUAUUUCAAUGAUUGAGCCAAAUGCUGUGAAAUGCCAUGAUGAUAAUCUACAGUAUAGUUAGUAGUGAUGUCUCCAAUCAUUGUAGGGUUCCUAAAUCCUCAUUGGUUAGUCACUGCAGAGCACCAAUCACAUAGCUUCUUACGCCCACUCUGAGAUCUCCCUGUUCUGGUUAAUAACUGCCUGAGCCAUUUGUCUCAUCUGCAAAAAAAUUCAGCCAAUUUAUCAGCAAUGAGUGCUUCCAACCUUCUGGCCUUAAAUGCUUUCUAUUUACAUAUAGUAGAACUGGCAUAAUGGUCUGAGACAGAUGACCAUUUAUUUGAAUUGACACCUGGAUAAGGUGUCAGGUCAAGAACAGGUUCUGCGCUCUGAUUUUCUGGACUUAGUUUUGGAAGUUUCACAACCCAAAGCCUUAGCUUUCUGUCAUUGGCAGAAAAAAUAUUGUUAGGGGACCCAAAGCAUGUAGUUGAUGGAAAACUUUCUGUUGACGGUAAUAUUUGGGAGGACCUGUUCCCUGUACACAAUGUUUGUUCCCUGUACACAAUGUCUUGGUUUCUCUAGAUGGUAAACUCUAGAUGGCCUACUCCUGUUGAUGACUUUGAUAUAGACAUUUUUAUCGGAGUGAUUCUGAAACUAGAAAACUCAGCCUCUCCUUUCUGGCCCCACCCCACCCAGCUUCUCCCGUC